Salvia miltiorrhiza (redroot sage) is the source of this 737-nucleotide long non-coding RNA. RefSeq lists it as uncharacterized. NCBI's taxonomy places the organism in Eukaryota, Viridiplantae, Streptophyta, Magnoliopsida, Lamiales, Lamiaceae. The transcript is spliced from 3 exons. The record is from RefSeq and is a predicted model, not a curated record.
CUCACCAAUUCACUACUUCCACCACCUACGUUAACAUCACUACCCACUCACACUUUCCACCCACACUACACACGAUACCUUGCCCCCCAUUUCCUUCCACUCACCAUUUCUCCUACAUACCAAGGAACAAGUGCAGAGGUAAGAACUGCAAUCAUAAUUUCAUAAUUUAAUUCUUACAACCUUCAGCAACUCCCAAGCUCUCUCUCUCUAAAAAAAAAACGCCACUGCCCAUGUAAGUUUGGAACUUUGAAAUUCUUUCAUUUUUUCCUUGUCUCUCUUGCAAAUUUUGAAUAAAGCAACAUCUGAAAUUCUUGUACAACUCCAUUCACAGAACUCCAUUCACAGAAGCUUAGUAAACAACAACAAAUACAACAACAAACACCAGCCGAAACCUCAUCAAAAGGCUUUGAGCAUCAGGAGGAUUAGCACUGCUAUUCCGAUUCAGAGAUAACGUUAAACGACAGGCUUUGCCUAGACAGGUUAAUGGCUGGUGAUGACGGGGCAGAGCUGAGGCUAGAGUUCAACUCCUUAUUUUAAUUUCCGCUGCAGAACUAGCCAGUAUCUGUCUUUUGUUCCUUAACUUAAGACCUAUUAUGUUGUGAUUCUAAAAACAAUAUCUUUUGUUGAACCUAGACUAUUAACUCUCAAAUAUUUUGAUCAGUGAUUGUUGGUUAUCUGAAGCAUGUCACUAAACUUGUGAUCCUGAAGUUGUUAUAUUUGUUGAUUGAUUUGUAUCA